GACGAACGCUGGCGGCGUGCCUAACACAUGCAAGUCGAGCGGGGAUUUAAGUGGAAGUUCUUCGGAAUGGAGAUUUAAAUUUUAGCGGCGGACGGGUGAGUAACGCGUGAACAAUCUGUCCCGGACAGGGGGAUAACACUUGGAAACAGGUGCUAAUACCGCAUAAGACCACGGCCUCGCAUGGGGCUGAGGUAAAAGGAGCAAUCCGGUUCGGGGUGAGUUCGCGUCCGAUUAGCUAGUUGGUGAGGUAACGGCCCACCAAGGCGACGAUCGGUAGCCGGCCUGAGAGGGUGAACGGCCACAUUGGAACUGAGAGACGGUCCAAACUCCUACGGGAGGCAGCAGUGGGGAAUAUUGGGCAAUGGGCGAAAGCCUGACCCAGCAACGCCGCGUGAGGGAAGAAGGUUUUCGGAUUGUAAACCUCUGUCCUAUGGGACGAAGGAAGUGACGGUACCAUAGGAGGAAGCCCCGGCUAACUACGUG
RNAcentral lists this ribosomal RNA (483 nucleotides) under uncultured bacterium. RNAcentral's name for it is "partial 16S ribosomal RNA". It matches the Rfam family "Bacterial small subunit ribosomal RNA", at positions 28 to 507 of the family's 1533-position model. The record is from RNAcentral.